GGGGGUGUAGCUCAAUGGCAGAGUGCCUACCUAGCAUGUGCAGGGGUUCUGGGUUCAAUCCCCAGCACCACCA
Molecule: transfer RNA, 73 nt
Filed under: Heterocephalus glaber (naked mole-rat)
Lineage: Eukaryota; Metazoa; Chordata; Mammalia; Rodentia; Bathyergidae
Rfam family: tRNA
About the family: Transfer RNA (tRNA) molecules are approximately 80 nucleotides in length.
Source: Rfam by way of RNAcentral